This 253-nucleotide ribosomal RNA is filed under the name uncultured bacterium. RNAcentral describes it as "partial 16S ribosomal RNA". It matches the Rfam family "Bacterial small subunit ribosomal RNA", at positions 524 to 776 of the family's 1533-position model. The record is from RNAcentral.
UACAGAGGUCUCAAGCGUUGUUCGGAUUCAUUGGGCGUAAAGGGUGCGUAGGCGGUGCGGUAAGUCGGGUGUGAAAUCUUGGAGCUUAACUCCGAAACUGCAUUCGAUACUGCCGUGCUUGAGGACUGGAGAGGAGACUGGAAUUUACGGUGUAGCGGUGAAAUGCGUAGAUAUCGUAAGGAAGACCAGUGGCGAAGGCGGGUCUCUGGACGGUUCCUGACGCUGAGGCACGAAGGCCAGGGGAGCAAACGGG